RNAcentral lists this ribosomal RNA (2931 nucleotides) under Escherichia coli. Its description in RNAcentral is "23S ribosomal RNA". It matches the Rfam family "Bacterial large subunit ribosomal RNA". The record is from RNAcentral. Lineage: Bacteria; Pseudomonadati; Pseudomonadota; Gammaproteobacteria; Enterobacterales; Enterobacteriaceae.
GGGUUGUGAGGUUAAGCGACUAAGCGUACACGGUGGAUGCCCUGGCAGUCAGAGGCGAUGAAGGACGUGCUAAUCUGCGAUAAGCGUCGGUAAGGUGAUAUGAACCGUUAUAACCGGCGAUUUCCGAAUGGGGAAACCCAGUGUGAUUCGUCACACUAUCAUUAACUGAAUCCAUAGGUUAAUGAGGCGAACCGGGGGAACUGAAACAUCUAAGUACCCCGAGGAAAAGAAAUCAACCGAGAUUCCCCCAGUAGCGGCGAGCGAACGGGGAGGAGCCCAGAGCCUGAAUCAGUGUGUGUGUUAGUGGAAGCGUCUGGAAAGGCGCGCGAUACAGGGUGACAGCCCCGUACACAAAAAUGCACAUGCUGUGAGCUCGAUGAGUAGGGCGGGACACGUGGUAUCCUGUCUGAAUAUGGGGGGACCAUCCUCCAAGGCUAAAUACUCCUGACUGACCGAUAGUGAACCAGUACCGUGAGGGAAAGGCGAAAAGAACCCCGGCGAGGGGAGUGAAAAAGAACCUGAAACCGUGUACGUACAAGCAGUGGGAGCACGCUUAGGCGUGUGACUGCGUACCUUUUGUAUAAUGGGUCAGCGACUUAUAUUCUGUAGCAAGGUUAACCGAAUAGGGGAGCCGAAGGGAAACCGAGUCUUAACUGGGCGUUAAGUUGCAGGGUAUAGACCCGAAACCCGGUGAUCUAGCCAUGGGCAGGUUGAAGGUUGGGUAACACUAACUGGAGGACCGAACCGACUAAUGUUGAAAAAUUAGCGGAUGACUUGUGGCUGGGGGUGAAAGGCCAAUCAAACCGGGAGAUAGCUGGUUCUCCCCGAAAGCUAUUUAGGUAGCGCCUCGUGAAUUCAUCUCCGGGGGUAGAGCACUGUUUCGGCAAGGGGGUCAUCCCGACUUACCAACCCGAUGCAAACUGCGAAUACCGGAGAAUGUUAUCACGGGAGACACACGGCGGGUGCUAACGUCCGUCGUGAAGAGGGAAAUAACCCAGACCGCCAGCUAAGGUCCCAAAGUCAUGGUUAAGUGGGAAACGAUGUGGGAAGGCCCAGACAGCCAGGAUGUUGGCUUAGAAGCAGCCAUCAUUUAAAGAAAGCGUAAUAGCUCACUGGUCGAGUCGGCCUGCGCGGAAGAUGUAACGGGGCUAAACCAUGCACCGAAGCUGCGGCAGCGACGCUGAUGCGUUGUUGGGUAGGGGAGCGUUCUGUAAGCCUGUGAAGGUGUGCUGUGAGGCAUGCUGGAGGUAUCAGAAGUGCGAAUGCUGACAUAAGUAACGAUAAAGCGGGUGAAAAGCCCGCUCGCCGGAAGACCAAGGGUUCCUGUCCAACGUUAAUCGGGGCAGGGUGAGUCGACCCCUAAGGCGAGGCCGAAAGGCGUAGUCGAUGGGAAACAGGUUAAUAUUCCUGUACUUGGUGUUACUGCGAAGGGGGGACGGAGAAGGCUAUGUUGGCCGGGCGACGGUUGUCCCGGUUUAAGCGUGUAGGCUGGUUUUCCAGGCAAAUCCGGAAAAUCAAGGCUGAGGCGUGAUGACGAGGCACUACGGUGCUGAAGCAACAAAUGCCCUGCUUCCAGGAAAAGCCUCUAAGCAUCAGGUAACAUCAAAUCGUACCCCAAACCGACACAGGUGGUCAGGUAGAGAAUACCAAGGCGCUUGAGAGAACUCGGGUGAAGGAACUAGGCAAAAUGGUGCCGUAACUUCGGGAGAAGGCACGCUGAUAUGUAGGUGAAGUCCCUCGCGGAUGGAGCUGAAAUCAGUCGAAGAUACCAGCUGGCUGCAACUGUUUAUUAAAAACACAGCACUGUGCAAACACGAAAGUGGACGUAUACGGUGUGACGCCUGCCCGGUGCCGGAAGGUUAAUUGAUGGGGUCAGCGCAAGCGAAGCUCUUGAUCGAAGCCCCGGUAAACGGCGGCCGUAACUAUAACGGUCCUAAGGUAGCGAAAUUCCUUGUCGGGUAAGUUCCGACCUGCACGAAUGGCGUAAUGAUGGCCAGGCUGUCUCCACCCGAGACUCAGUGAAAUUGAACUCGCUGUGAAGAUGCAGUGUACCCGCGGCAAGACGGAAAGACCCCGUGAACCUUUACUAUAGCUUGACACUGAACAUUGAGCCUUGAUGUGUAGGAUAGGUGGGAGGCUUUGAAGUGUGGACGCCAGUCUGCAUGGAGCCGGCCUUGAAAUACCACCCUUUAAUGUUUGAUGUUCUAACGUUGACCCGUGAUCCGGGUUGCGGACAGUGUCUGGUGGGUAGUUUGACUGGGGCGGUCUCCUCCUAAAGAGUAACGGAGGAGCACGAAGGUUGGCUAAUCCUGGUCGGACAUCAGGAGGUUAGUGCAAUGGCAUAAGCCAGCUUGACUGCGAGCGUGACGGCGCGAGCAGGUGCGAAAGCAGGUCAUAGUGAUCCGGUGGUUCUGAAUGGAAGGGCCAUCGCUCAACGGAUAAAAGGUACUCCGGGGAUAACAGGCUGAUACCGCCCAAGAGUUCAUAUCGACGGCGGUGUUUGGCACCUCGAUGUCGGCUCAUCACAUCCUGGGGCUGAAGUAGGUCCCAAGGGUAUGGCUGUUCGCCAUUUAAAGUGGUACGCGAGCUGGGUUUAGAACGUCGUGAGACAGUUCGGUCCCUAUCUGCCGUGGGCGCUGGAGAACUGAGGGGGGCUGCUCCUAGUACGAGAGGACCGGAGUGGACGCAUCACUGGUGUUCGGGUUGUCAUGCCAAUGGCACUGCCCGGUAGCUAAAUGCGGAAGAGAUAAGUGCUGAAAGCAUCUAAGCACGAAACUUGCCCCGAGAUGAGUUCUCCCUGACUCCUUGAGAGUCCUGAAGGAACGUUGAAGACGACGACGUUGAUAGGCCGGAUGUGUAAGCGCAGCGAUGCGUUGAGCUAACCGGUACUAAUGAACCGUGAGGCUUAACCUUACAACGCCGAAGGUGUUU